CCGUUUUUCCCGUAGCAUCUCCUGCGUUGGGGGUUAACCGGAGAAACAUGUUGUCUGUUGUCUAGUUGGGCUCCGGUGGUGCGCCACCGUGGGGGGACCUGCACCACCGGCCUGUGCUCUAAAGGUGGAAGAACGACGCUAGUGUGUCGAUCUGGAAACAAACGGCCAGGAUUAGAGAUGGGAGUAUUUUGAUCGUGAUCAUUGGAUCCACUCCGAUGGCCACGAUUAUAUGGUGGAUACCCUUUCGGCCCGUUGAUCCUUGGGCGUUGGAUCGGGAUCGGGCGAUCGGGAUUGGCGCAGAACGUGUGAGCCUUGCAGGCCAUGGAUCCACGAUCCGAUGGCCGAAGAUGGUUCUGGGUUGAGUUUUAAUCAGGGUGGUCG
RNAcentral lists this long non-coding RNA (381 nucleotides) under Zea mays. RNAcentral describes it as "long non-coding RNA NONZMAT001804". The record is from RNAcentral. Lineage: Eukaryota; Viridiplantae; Streptophyta; Magnoliopsida; Poales; Poaceae.